RNAcentral lists this ribosomal RNA (485 nucleotides) under uncultured bacterium. Its description in RNAcentral is "partial 16S ribosomal RNA". It matches the Rfam family "Bacterial small subunit ribosomal RNA", at positions 29 to 523 of the family's 1533-position model. The record is from RNAcentral.
AGUGAACGCUGGCGGCGUGCUUAACACAUGCAAGUCGAACGAGAACGGGAUAUAGCUUGCUAUAUUUGUCAGCUAAGUGGCGCACGGGUGAGUAAUGUAUAGAUAACCUGCCCUCUAGAAAGGAAUAACAGUUGGAGACGACUGCUAAUGCCCUAUAUGCCUUUAAUACAUAAGUAUGCAAGGGAAACGCUUUAGUGCUAGAGGAUGGGUCUGUAUGGUAUCAGCUUGUUGGUGAGGUAAUGGCUCACCAAGGCUAUGACGCCUAACUGGUUUGAGAGGAUGAUCCGUCAACCCUGAACCGGGAAACGGUUCAAGCUCCUAGGGGAGGCCGGCGGUGGGAAUAUUGCCAAAUGGACGAAAGGCUGAUGCCGCAACGCCGGGUGGAGGAUGACACAUUUCGGUGCGUAAACUCCUUUUAUAUAGGAAGAUAAUGACGGUACUAUAUGAAUAAGCACCGGCUAACUCCGUGCCAGCCGCCGCCGUAA